GAAAUAAAUAUAAAUUGAACUUCUAAUUCAAUAUUAAAUGAUUAAAAAAAUCAUUUUAUUUCU
This 63-nucleotide transfer RNA is filed under the name Acropyga butteli. RNAcentral describes it as "tRNA-Ser". Lineage: Eukaryota; Metazoa; Arthropoda; Insecta; Hymenoptera; Formicidae. The record is from RNAcentral.